This 824-nucleotide unclassified non-coding RNA is filed under the name Hevea brasiliensis (rubber tree). Lineage: Eukaryota; Viridiplantae; Streptophyta; Magnoliopsida; Malpighiales; Euphorbiaceae. The record is from RNAcentral.
AAUUCCCUCACCUUAUCCAAACAGAACCUUAUACGCAGAAAAUUGGGAUAACCCAUGACACCUCCUUGGGUAAGAUCCACUUCAAUGAACUGCCCAAUACAGUUUCCAAUGAUUUGAGCAUUCAUGGGAUUUAAUUGAUUUGGUGGAAGGCCAUGUGCUUGAACCCAAAAUGGAGAGUGGGUAAACUGCAGUUCUUCAAAAGAUAAGUCAGGUGGCCAAUGUUGGAGUGAAAGAUGUUGAUUGUGUGCCGACCAUGGUCGGUUCUCCAUCAUGUACUUCACAUCAACUUCACGCUCAAAACUGAAGCAGAAUGUAUUUUUGUUUCUGGUGAAAACAUGGAAAUCCUUCCUCGUUCAUCAAGACUUGGACAGGGCUGAUUUCAUUGUGUAAGCACUGAAAACUCUUGUGGAGAUAAUCUCACCCACCACAACAUUGUGCUGCAUUGGUUAUGCAUCCUGGUUGGUUGUAAGUUGUAGUAUUGGGUCUUCACAAUUGAGCUGUUUAGCUUUAGUAAUCAAAUCAGUCAUGCUCUGUUCUUGUAAUGCCAUACCUGAUGAAACUAGAAGACGCCGAUUAACUUGGGACAAACAACAGGGCAACUAGUAUGCAGGAGGAAAGGAGAGAAAUAGGAUAGACAAGGUUAAUCAGAAAAGGAAAAAAAAAUGAGCAAAACAACACUUAAAAAAGAUUCCCCAAGGAACAACGUGAUAGACGCAAGAAAGAAGAAACCCAGAACUAUUAGGUAGGAGAUUCAUUUUCCACGCACAUGUAAUUCACUAUUGAUCUUGGAAUUAGAAUUUUGGAUAAGAAUCUGUUUCUCUUUA